GAUACUGGGAGCCUUUCCGCCAGAGUGAUGAUGGAUCAUCAGCUUCACUCUGUCAGAUAGAAAUCUUAAUCUUGAAUAACUGAAGCUCAGGUAUCAUGCAAGACCACUUCUAUUCAUCCAAAGAUGACCGUCUGUAUAGAAGCUGUCAGCAGAGGUCCCUACGGUCUGCCAAAACCUGGAUCUUCCAUUCUCCUGUGAGGAUAUGAGGAUGGGCAAAAAUUGUCCCAUCAAGCGCUCCAGUGGCUUCCAAGUGAUGACCAAAGGCCCAUCUCUUCCACAUCCACCAACAAAAGAUGUGCACUGUGGUUGUGAAGAGUAUCUACGGCCACUUCCAUGGCUUCUGGGGACAGCCAAGGCACUGCUGCUCCCACCUCCCCAGGGUUCCACACAGGCUCUCAAGGGUAAGUGUGCCCUCUCUUUGGGGAAAUACAGUAUUAUUCCAUUAAACCCACAAAACCACAGAAAGAAUUUUUCUUGAUCACUCCAGGAGCACUGCCACAUCCUUAUUUAGGUGCUUUAUAAUGAAAUGCGUGCACCUGAAAUACAUCAGAGGUCGUAUGGCUAUGUGCUGUAUAUUUCAAAUAAUUACCUUAGAGAACACGGGGUGAAAUUAGAACUGAAAAACAUGUGUGAGUGAAUCUGGUGCAGAUAAAAGGAUUAAAUGUAACCUUUCUCACCUGGAAAUACUCUUCACCAAAUCUCACUAAGACUUUUCAGAUACGUUUCAUUAAAAUAAUUCUUUCAGUAAUUAGAUUUAAUUCUACUGUAAAAUGGAAGUUUCUGCCUGACAUUCCUCUAGACUAAUACAGAAAUGUAAAGAAUUUGGAUUGCUCACAGUGAGCAUGUUUUUCUUCUGUAGACAUUGUCCUUGUAAACUCCCUUUAAAAAGCAGAUGCCAACAGCUUUCCCCUCCCCUCUUUUAAUAACUCUUUUAGUUUAAAUUCAUAAAAUGUAUGAAUGUGGAGAGGGCCAGAGGGGAAAAACAAAGAAUCGAACAGAACCAUACCACACAACUUCCACGGCUUUAUAUCAACAGAUGAUAUAAAUGCUACAUAUAUAUGUCUAUCUACGUUAUUAUAUAUAAACGAAGAUCCAUUUCUAACCAAGUUUUCCUGUCUUGUUUUAAAAUGGCAUCCCUGGAAGAAAGGAAUAGAUUGCAAUAGUUCCUUAGUUUCAGUUAAAGCUUUUAAUUCUUUAAUGCUAAUCUAGAAACUACACUGUUCCAGUCAUUGUUCUCUUAGAGAAGUUAAUUUUUCUGUUACUGGACAGUUCCUUUUCUGUUUUCAGUACCGCAAUCAGUUUGUUUUUCAACGUGGUCUUUAUCUCACAAUAACUGUAUACUAGUGUGUCAGGAUACUGUAACACUGCAGUCAAUAGCAACAGGAUACGCGCU
RNAcentral lists this long non-coding RNA (1393 nucleotides) under Calidris pugnax (ruff). RNAcentral describes it as "lncRNA (ENSCPUG00000013282.1)". The record is from RNAcentral. Lineage: Eukaryota; Metazoa; Chordata; Aves; Charadriiformes; Scolopacidae.